AACUUUUACCACUGGUUAUUUGCAGCCACAGAGGUAGUUAUGUCUCACAUGGUCCUCCGCACUUGGGUUGAGCCACCUAAAAAGAAGAAAAAGCAAAUUAAUAAAUCGAAGAAAUUGAAAUAGAUAAUAAAUAGAAAAAAAUGAAAUCAGUUGAUACAAAGAAUACCACCGCCAGCUCUGUCAAGUAAGGUUCUUCGAUGUUGCUUUUUAUUCUUAUUCGUGACAUUGACAGAUAAAUGAAGUCGCGUUGCCAACACAGGGAAAUGAAGGUGCUACCAAGUACCUAUUUUCUGACUUGCUCUAGGGAGACGUUAUUACCUGCACGGUGGGGGUUCUCUUAAGUUCAGGAAAAUCAGCACUCUCAGAAUUCAGAAAUUCCGGGAGGGAGACCUCGGAAUACCCCGCGCUAGUAGAAAAAGACAAAUCUAUGAAGAUGAAAGAAGACAAAAAUAGCUUUUAUGUAAAAUGUCGGAUCGUGGAAAGCUACCUAGGGUCUCUCGAAAGUUAUAAAUGAGGGUACUAGCAGAGAAAAGACAGUUAAUUUGGUGGUGCUGAGUGCAAGUAGUAAGGAAAUCAAGAAAGAGCUUUUAAUUUCUAAAAAGAAAAGUGUAUUUUAAAGAAAAAGAAAUAAAGAAAUAUCUAAAUGUUUUGGAUUUCCCUUGUUGCGAAGGUUUGUGUGGUGAGAGUGUCUGGAGAAUUUUUAUAAGCUAUACACCAAGUUACUGAUUUAUGUGACCAGUGAAUAAAUGAACAGGUAGAUCAGGAACUUAUUCGCUGUGUUUUGAGAAUUGGUUUCAGCGGUAUCUAGUGAACAAUAGACAUACUAGAAGGCGUUGCAAAAUAUCCAAGGCAAAAGACAGUAUUACCUCCAGAUAAAGCUAUAUAACAGUUGUACUCCAGUGACAUCUAUGGGGUGUGGAGAUUUGUCGUAGAUAGAUCUCUCCCCAUCAACCAAGCUCAGCACCUAAGGCAAAUUGACCGAGUGCCCAACACAGUGGCUGGAAAUUGCAAUCCGAACAAACAUCGUUAAUUUGGUAACAAAUAAAUUCUGCUCUAAAGGAGCUGUAAAUCGUCGCCUCGCUCCUUCUGAAAUAUCGAGAUCUCUUCUCAGCAAGUUCAACUUGCCUUCCGGCCUGAUGGUUAGGAGAAAGGAUGGUGACAACGUUUUAUACUGUUUGUAUUUAAGUAUUUUUUUAUUUUAUUAUUAAUUUUUAUUUCCAUUUUUUUAUUAUUUAUUUCCAUUUUUUUAUUAUUUAUUUCCAUUUUUAGUUUUAUAUUUUAUAUAAGUGUGUAUACGUCGACUAAAUGUUUAUCUGUUAUUCUGUCUAAAAUUUACCCGUGUAAGCGACAUUCUCGAAGUUAUUUUUUUUGUUAGCAAUAGUGUUGUCCGAACGCCGACUUUAAAGAGCUCUUUCAGUAGACGUUAGUGAGGACUGGAAAUUCAGUUAUAUAAUUAGAUCAUAAUUAACUCUUUGCGGGUGUCGUUGUGAAGGCUAAAUAUCUGACGGUUCCACUUUGAAGACAUUUUGUUGGUAUGCUCAUUUGGUCAAAAGGCCGCUCGAUUUUAGUUGGAUAAAAAUUCCUUUUUUUUAAUUUAUUCAAUUUGUUUAUCUGAUUUAUUGUUUUUAUUUAUAACGAUAUUCAUAAACCUUAAACUCCAAAAUUCUAAACAAAUAAUUCUAAGAUAUAUUUUUUUGGUAUUUGCUCAUUUUUAUUAUAGGAAAAUUUUUAUAUUUGCAUUUAGUUGUUUGAUGAUCAAUUUGUUUAGCUGUGUUAGUUUUAGUUUAAUUUAGAAUAAAUAUUAUGUGAAAAAUUGAGACGAACGAAAAA
This is a long non-coding RNA of Musca domestica (house fly), 1830 nucleotides long. RefSeq lists it as uncharacterized. The record is from RefSeq and is a predicted model, not a curated record. NCBI's taxonomy places the organism in Eukaryota, Metazoa, Arthropoda, Insecta, Diptera, Muscidae. The transcript is spliced from 3 exons.